This 480-nucleotide ribosomal RNA is filed under the name uncultured bacterium. RNAcentral's name for it is "bacterial SSU rRNA". It matches the Rfam family "Bacterial small subunit ribosomal RNA", at positions 30 to 507 of the family's 1533-position model. The record is from RNAcentral.
AUUGAACGCUGGCGGAAUGCUUUACACAUGCAAGUCGAACGGUAGAGGGGGCAACCCCUUGAGAGUGGCGAACGGGUGAGUAAUAUAUCGGAACGUGCCCAGUCGUGGGGGAUAACGUAGCGAAAGUUACGCUAAUACCGCAUACGAUCUAAGGAUGAAAGCGGGGGAUCGCAAGACCUCGCGCGAUUGGAGCGGCCGAUAUCAGAUUAGGUAGUUGGUGAGGUAAAGGCUCACCAAGCCAACGAUCUGUAGCUGGUCUGAGAGGACGACCAGCCACACUGGAACUGAGACACGGUCCAGACUCCUACGGGAGGCAGCAGUGGGGAAUUUUGGACAAUGGACGCAAGUCUGAUCCAGCCAUUCCGCGUGCAGGACGAAGGCCUUCGGGUUGUAAACUGCUUUUGUACAGAACGAAAAGGUCUCUAUUAAUACUAGGGGCUCAUGACGGUACUGUAAGAAUAAGCACCGGCUAACUACGUG